This is a long non-coding RNA of Peromyscus leucopus (white-footed mouse), 574 nucleotides long. RefSeq lists it as uncharacterized. Lineage: Eukaryota; Metazoa; Chordata; Mammalia; Rodentia; Cricetidae. The record is from RefSeq and is a predicted model, not a curated record. The transcript is spliced from 3 exons.
AGGCUGCCCACACUCUGCCCCCACUGCAUCCGGAUGCCAAGGCACCAGCUGCUGCCCCAGUGCCUGGCAUGGCCCUCACUGCAGCUGGCAAGGUCUUGUGUCCUGAGGGCACAGGGCAGCGAGCUGAGGGGGGUUGGGCAUGGGCCACAUAGGGACAAUCUGAAUCCCUCCCUCUGUCUAUUUAGGGGACCAGAAACAAAGGUGAGGCAGCCAGCAGAGACAAGGAUGUGUUUAAUGGUGGCGUGGGGAGGCCAGCCUGGAAGGGGACAAAGAUGGACCAUCCGUGGGUCGGAAGAGAAAUGGAGACAGGACUGUGAGGGAAAGAGAGGCCACAUGGAACCUUAUCGAUAAAGAACAGGAGGGAACCCUGAGGGGACAGAAAAGAAAGGAGUGAUCAGGAUGAGUGGAAAUAAAUCAAAUACCACCAUGAGAAAGAAAAAAGCAAGAUAUACCACCAGGAAAAUGGAAAGGAGAAAUAAAAAGAGACUGGAGACAACGGCAGGAGAGUUACAUCUCGACAUCAGAAACCAAGGUGAGCCGGACCUUGGAAAGGGGAAGGAAAGAGAGAGAAAGA